Cornus florida is the source of this 3207-nucleotide RNA transcript. It is a transcript of the gene named MA3 DOMAIN-CONTAINING TRANSLATION REGULATORY FACTOR 2-like, with no coding region annotated. The transcript is spliced from 6 exons. The record is from RefSeq and is a predicted model, not a curated record. Lineage: Eukaryota; Viridiplantae; Streptophyta; Magnoliopsida; Cornales; Cornaceae.
UUUUGGGCGUUUUCCCCGCCUCACGAAGAAGGCAAUAGGGGGCACUCGUGUGAGAAAUCAGUUAGUUGACCUGCUAAAAUUCUGCAACUUUUCAGUCGGAUCUGAAUCCUUACGGUUACUCAAAUCCAACUUUUUUCCAUCAUCUAAACAACAUUUUCCAUUCAUUCCAUGCAUAUACCACAUCCAACACAUUUCUAAAUCCCACGAAUCAAGAAUCAAAUUAAAUUCAAAGAGUACCCACAAUUUACACCCCCAUCAUUUACCGGUUAAAUUCAUCUCCACCGCCGGUGUGCCAUGUCACUCCGGCGAACUCGGGUUCUUUCUCAUACAUGCCCAUUUAAGUGCUGGAGCACAAUGGAUUAAGACGUUUAAUAGAACACAAAUAGAGGGAAUAUUACAAUCAAGAAGAAAGCUUUAUGCAGAACUACAGUAAUUUGGAGUAAAGAGGCAUUGUAUUUUGGUUCCUUUCGAAUUUCAAAUAUUAUCCUGCACCUAACAUCAUCAGUAUUAGCAAAUUAAUGGUUCUCGUUGUGGUUUCUCUAAGUUGUUAGUGAAGUUCAGAAUCUCUCUAUGAUGGAAGUCACUAACGGGUACAUGUCAAAUGAGCAUCAGGAGCAACUUCGAUCAACCUCAGAAAGUGCGGAUCCAUUAUCUGUUUCUCCAUUAAAGAUCUCCUCAUCCCCAAAGUCUCCAAGAUCCCCAAAGUCACCACAAUCCCCGAAAUCUUCAAGGUCCCCAAAGGGUCAUGAUCAUAGUAAGCAUGGCACGAACAAGGGCAGCCCACUUAAGAAUUACAGGCAUUCACAUUCUGGAAGAGAUGGCCGCCCUAAAAAAGGUGGUUCUGGGGGAAAAGGAACUUGGGGUGGGUUACUUGAUACGGAUGACCAAUAUGUCCCCCUUGACCCCAACGACCCAAACUACACCAGCAAUGAGGAAAAGGAACAAUUAAGUGCAAGAAAAUCGAGUGCAACAUUUGAGGAGUAUAAAAAGAAAGCUACAAUAAUUGCAGAGGAAUACUUCAACACUGAUGAUGUUAUCUCAACUGCCAAUGAAUUAAGAGAACUAGGAAUGCCAAGCUAUAACUAUUAUUUUGUUAAGAAGCUUAUUUCUAUGGCUAUGGAUAAGCAUGACAAAGAGAAAGAAAUGGCCGCCGUUCUGUUAUCAUCACUUUAUGCUGAUAUCAUUGAUCCACCACAAGUAUACAAAGGUUUCAGAAAACUAGUGGAAUCUGCAGAUGACUUUAUCGUAGAUAUACCAGAUACAGUUGAUGUUCUUGCACUGUUUAUAGCUCGAGGUGUGGUUGAUGACAUACUUCCUCCUGCUUUUUUGACAAAAGAAAUUGCCUCCUUACCCAAUGAUUCAAAGGGAGUUGAUGUCAUUAAAAGAGCUGAGAAGGGCUAUUUAUCGGCCCCUCUUCAUGCAGAAAUCAUUGAGCGCCGUUGGGCUGGAGGCAAGAACAAAACUGUUGAAGAUGUGAAAGGAAAGAUAAAUAAUUUGCUGAUAGAGUAUGUAAUGAGUGAUGACAGGAAAGAGGCUUGCAGGUGCAUUAAGGAUUUGAAUGUUCCAUUCUUCCAUCACGAGAUAGUGAAACGGGCUAUUAUAAUGGCCAUGGAAAGGCAGCAAGCUGAAUGCCAGCUUUUGGAUUUGUUGAAGACGGCUGCUGAAGAAGGUUUGAUCAAUUCAAGUCAGAUAUCAAAGGGAUUUGGACGGAUUAUUGACAAUGUCGAUGACUUAUCGCUUGACAUCCCAAAUGCAAGGAGGAUAUUGCAGUCCUUGAUCUCCAAGGCAGCAUCAGAGGGGUGGUUGUGUGCCUCAUCUUUGAAGUCACUGUCCCUACAGACUGGAAAAUCAUCGUCAUUAGAAGAUAGUGCCGCAAAAUCCUUCAAGAUGAAGGCUCAAUUCAUAGUUCAGGAGUACUUUUUGUCUGGUGAUGUUUCAGAGGUAAUUCAUUGUCUAGAAUCAGAGACCUCUUCUAAUUCCUUGGCCGAAUUGAAUGCUAUAUUUGUUAAGAAACUGAUAAUUCUAGCGAUGGAUCGAAAAAAUAGAGAGAAAGAAAUGGCUUCUAUUUUGUUGUCAUCCUUGUGUUUUCCAGCUGAUGAUGUCGUAAAUGGCUUCAUCUUGCUGCUAGAAUCUGCAGAAGACACUGUUCUGGAUAUUCCAGUUGUUGUUGAUGAUCUUGCGAUGUUUUUAGCAAGAGCAGUGGUGGAUGAAGUCCUUGCCCCGCUGCACUUGGAAGAGAUUAGGAGUCAGUGUUUGGGACCAGACUCAGUUGGGAGCAAAGUGCUUCAAAUGGCAAAUUCACUGCUAAAGGCUCGACUUUCUGGAGAACGAAUAUUAAGGUGUUGGGGUGGUGGAGGGAGCAGCAGCAGCAGCAGGAACGGAUGGGCAAUUGAGGAUGUCAAGGACAAGAUCGGAAAGAUUUUAGAGGAGUUUGAGUCUGGGGGGGAUAUGAAGGAAGCUUGUCGGUGCAUAAAGGAGUUAAGCAUGCCAUUUUUCCACCAUGAGAUUGUUAAGAAAUCAUUGGUGACAGUUAUGGAGAAGAAGAAUGAUAGAUUGUGGGGUUUGCUUCAGGAGUGUUUUAGCAUUGGACUCAUUACGAUGAAUCAAAUGAUGAAGGGUUUUGGAAGAGUGGCAGAAUCUCUUGAUGACUUGGCUUUGGACGUGCCUGAUGCAGAGCAACAAUUUACACGUUAUGUUGACUGGGCCAAGACUGAAGGGUGGUUGGAUUUAUCAUUUUGUUUCACCAGAUCAGGACAUGCAGUGGAGAAUGGCUCUUGUUCAUGAUGCAGAGAUUCGGAUUAAUUCUUAUGGAAUGCAUGUUCAAUUACUAGUGUGCUUGUUGAUGUUUGAGUUGUGGCAAGGUCAUCUUUGGGAGAAGUUUGAGGUGGUGGCACUCCGCUUGCCAGAGGGGAAGGUACAGUGGAUUCUUGAUGUUAAAAUCCGGAGAAAAUGAAGAACGGUUUCUUAGCAUAUUCUGUUCCGAUGACAAUUUUGGUCUGAUUUGAGUACUGAAAAUUAUUGUAGUGAUGAAGCUAAAUCCAUGCUUCUAGUGUUGAACAAAUUAUUGAUGUUCUUUGAUCUUUGCAUCCUUUGAUCAAAGAUGGAUUUGUUUUAUUAUAUGAGAAUUCUGUGCUUAGUCCACAGCAUGUAUGUUUUGUGCUAAACAUGCUCUUAAAUAAGAUGUGAUAUACUCCUAUCUUGCUGAAA